GAACGAGUCCAUCAUGAAUAAAGGUGUGCUUUUAAUAUUGUGUACGUUGGUUCUGUUGGCGGUUACAGACGCCAGGUCCUGUUCCACGGGACAGAAAACUUCUCAUUCAUCAUGUGGUAGCAGUGAGAAUAGAGACAAGGAUGAUUCAUCGUCUUCAUCUUCGUCAUCAUCAUCAUCAUCGGAAGAAGAUGAUGGAAAAAAG
Papilio machaon (common yellow swallowtail) is the source of this 202-nucleotide long non-coding RNA. RefSeq lists it as uncharacterized. The record is from RefSeq and is a predicted model, not a curated record. Lineage: Eukaryota; Metazoa; Arthropoda; Insecta; Lepidoptera; Papilionidae. The transcript is spliced from 3 exons.